GUGCGACUCAAUCGCACGUGCCUCUUUCUUUAGCUUCGCGGUUCUCUCCCCCUCUUGCUUGAUAUUCGCUUCGAGGUCACAUUCGUGCUUGUCUGCGAGAGAGUCCUGCCCGGGGUGCUUUCAUGGUGUGUCCCAUUUCCCAGCCACCACCACCACCACCACCCACACCCACACCCACACCCCAUCGCUAUCCUUUCCUCCUCAUUGUUUUGUUGUUGCUACUCUUCCUUUCAGUGCCGGUGUCUGCGCUGUUCUUUCCUUGAUUGUUGCAUGCACGGACGACAAAUUCCUUUACACACACGCAAAUCGUAAAGGAUCCCGAAAGCACGCACCGCAAGGACGAUGCAGACGCAAGCGCACAAGGAUGUGGUGAAGAACAUCGCCACGGCCUCACAGCUGGAAGGCGAGCUCCAGCUCUCGGAGGCCCAGCACGGUGUGGCGGUGCUGGAUGUGUACAACGCAGAGUGGGGUCACUGCAAAGCGCUCAGUGACACCUUCCGCCGUCUCUUCACCGACGCCGGCGACCUGGUCCACCUGCGGUUCUUCUCGGUGGAGUGCAAUGCGGUGCUGGAGAGCCUCAAGGACCCAGAUGAGAUGAAGCCCCAUCAUCCUCAGCAGAAGGGGAUGGUGUUCUCCAAGGACACCCUCGUCAGCUUCUGGAGAGAGAUGCUCGAGAAGCGCCAGAAUCACUCGAAGCCGUUCUUCGCCUUCUACAAGGAAGGCAGGAUGCGAGCACAGCUGGAGGGUAUAGACACCCCGAAGAUCUGCCGCAUCGUGCGUGAUCUGUGCAAUCAGCAGAACACUGUCUCCGAGUACGUCACGAACGCUGAUGUGCUGCGGUUUUGGGAGUCGCACUUCUCCCUAUCGGAGAACGAGGUGGCCGCGAGCGAGUUCGCGCAUGCGGUGCAAGCGGUGCUCGGCGCCUCGGCGGCGGAGCUGUCGGAGGCGGACUUGGCUGACAUCACGGCCGAGGUGCAGAGCACCAGUGGGGCCACAGUGUCAGCCGCCGACCUGCAGUCAUUCGUCGGCGAUAGCGGGAGGGUGAAGGAUGCGAUUUUGGCCGUCGUCGCAAAAAAGCGGGCGAUGGCCACAGCAACUGCAGCUGCACCGCCACCUCCGCCGGCAGAAGAGCUGCAGCCAACAGAAUCAGAGGAGAAAGGUGCGGACGAGGAUCCGCGGGCGUCGCUUCAAAGGCCGUCGUCCGCUGAGUCCGGUGAGGCGGUGGAGGAAGCGGCGGCAGGCGACGAAGAGGCUGAGGUCGGUGGGGAAGAAGUGGACGUGGACGCAGACGCAGCGCAGGAGACCUUACCCGCCGGGGAAGAUACCGCCGAAGCGGCUUCAUCGGUGCACGGCGCGCCGUCGCACAAUGACGAGCAAAAAGAAGAGCUGCCCAAGACGGUCACGGAUGGGGCUGACGAAGAGCCUGUUGUCGAGCCGCCCGCCGUCGAUGCGGCGGAGGCGGAUGAGGCAGGCGCAGAUACCCAUGAGCUCGGCGAACCCGCAGUGGCUAACCCAGUGGAGCAGCAAGCGAUGCAGCAGCCUGAAGGCAAUGAAGCUGACAGCGCCUACGAGGAGCUGCCGGGGCAGCAGGCUGCAGCAGAUGCAGAGUCCCCCACGCCGUCACCAAGCCUGCCUGCAGAGGAGCAUGGCGAAAGCGGUGUGGGAGAGGCUUCGGGCGCGCCGGCUGAUGAGGCUCGCACAGAGGACGACACGCAGGCGUUACCCGGCGCAGCCGAGAAUGACAACCAGCACGAGGAGCUCCAGGAAGAUGCGCGCCCGCCGUCCUCAGCACCGCAGCCACCUAUGGACACCAUGGAGCCAGAGGACGGCGACGACGAAGAGCUUGGCGAAGCGCCGUCGUCUGCGCCGCCGGCCGACACUGUCAACACCACCGGUGACCAGGACGAGUCCGUCGUCAAUCAGAUCUUCACGAAUCGCUGGGUAACGGUGACAGAGGAGGAGAUGCACGUGUGGAACACGGUGGCAGCGUUGCCGCUCCACUAUCCCCAGAGCACGACGAUGAUGGCGGAUCUGACGAACAACACGACGCCGGUGCACGAGGCAUUGUCGACGACGGCAGACCUCCCGACGCUGGCGGAGUAUCUGACAGCGCAAGGAGUGCCUUACUCCGACAUCAAUAUGAUGUGCAUCGCAGCAGAUCAGAAGGUGGCUUCGGAGAGCCUGUCGUACGGCAAGCUGUCGCUGCUACUCAUCUCCUGUGACCCGGAGGAGGGAAAGGGCCUGGUGCCGCACUGUGAGACGUUCCUGAAGGAGCUGUCGGACGGCACCCUUCUCAAGCAUCAGCAGCCGCUUGCCUUCACCGCCCUUGCGCUGAGUGCCUCCGUGGCCUACCCGGACGAGUGCUUCUGCUACUGUGUUCCCGAGACUGCGGUAGCAGCCUUCCAGGAGCUCGCCGUGGACGACAUCUUCAUCCUGAAUGCACUGACGCCGCUCAAGACAACCGUGCCGCAGGACGGACAGUUUAUCCUGCGCAUCAUCGGCCUGCCCAAGGUGAUCGAGCUCGCCACGACGGAUGAGAACGAGGACACAAUGGUGCUGAGUCAGUGGUACGCACGCUUGCGGGUAGCCGAGCAGGGCGCCGGUGCCCUCACCGCGCACUUCGUGGAGAACGUGUGCGAUGAUGAGUUCCAGGACUUCCUCUUCGGCUACAUUGAGCGCCUCAUCGAGGAUGAGAACCGGCUGGACAAGAAGCACGGCGACGAGGAAAAAAGCGCCGAGGGCGAUUUCAACGAUGAGGAGCUGGACGACGGCAAGUCCGCCGAAGUCGCCACACCCGAGCCCGAGGAUGUGCUUUAGAGGAGACAAUGUUGUGCGCUGUCCACGUCAGUCAUAUCCUCAACCCCGAUCAACGACGUCAAGGACAGCCACCUCAUCCAAAGAGGGCAACAGAGAACCACGUAGAGCACGAUGUAUAUACCGCGUGAUCGCUUCGCUUUUUUGUUUUUGGUUGAAUCGCUUCAGCUGAUUCCAUUUUGGGUGUGCAUGAGUGUGUGUCUUUGGGCGCGAUGUACGCAAGGAAGAAAGAGGAAGUGCACGCUACCGUUGUUUUUCGUUUCUGUCCUUUGCUUUGCCUGUGUGGCUGCAUUGGGUUGCUAGCAGCCUCAAGCACGCACGCACUGCGCUCUCCCGUGUCUCUGCAAGGAUGCAGGAGAGAGUUG
RNAcentral lists this unclassified non-coding RNA (3179 nucleotides) under Leishmania donovani. RNAcentral describes it as "gene:LdHU3.36.4450(CDS-product:hypothetical_prote in_conserved)". The record is from RNAcentral. Lineage: Eukaryota; Euglenozoa; Kinetoplastea; Trypanosomatida; Trypanosomatidae.